CAUUGCUGUCGUUCAGUUCUAUCAAAGAAGUGGCCUGGGCCGCGCAUCACCUUCAGCUUUUCUCCUUGUCUUAUUUGCAAGGCUGUAUAACGAAAUGAGUUCCUCGAUGAUUUGUUAAUUCCGAUACGUGAGCUUUUUGAAGACGUCAAGCGCAAAGCUUUGAUGAGGCUCGAGUACGAAGGUCUCCACCAAACCGAAGCCAUUUCAUUGCCUGGAAAUAGAUUUUUCCAGGAUGCCGAAGGAUAUGCCAUGGAACGCUACGCACAUUACGUUUGCUUCAGAUGUAACAAGGCCUAUUACACAGCAGCGGAAAACUACUUAUUUAGGCCUUUUUAAGUAGUUUUUGCCUACUAAAUCGAUAAGUAGUCUGAAAAAGACCAAAAUAAGUAGUUUUAUCAUACUUAAUUUUUGGAAUUGCCUACUGAAAAUGUAAUUUCUCCUACUUCUUAUUUUUAUGAUACUUAUUUUCAUAAAUAAAAGUAGUUUUUCGAAUAAGUAGUUUAC
Long non-coding RNA from Daphnia pulicaria, 504 nucleotides. RefSeq lists it as uncharacterized. The transcript is spliced from 3 exons. Lineage: Eukaryota; Metazoa; Arthropoda; Branchiopoda; Diplostraca; Daphniidae. The record is from RefSeq and is a predicted model, not a curated record.